AAGUCGUAACAAGGUUUCCGUAGGUGAACCUGCGGAAGGACCAUCAUCGAAUUCAUAUCCUCCCCAUUCCGGAGGGGACCCAUGAUAAACCCUUCUGUGCAUCGUAAACCGUUCACUUUGGCUGGUUUUGGUGGUGAGCGUAAACUCGUCUCCAACCUCGCAUUCUCUCCUCCAUAAGGGGGUGGUGUUACGCGUGGCGGCCUGCCGGAGUCCUCCCAUUAAAAACACGUUUUCGAACACGUCUGAAAUUUCCUUUGAGAAAUCAAAGAACCGAAAACAACUUUCAACAACGGAUCUCUUGGCUCUC
Molecule: unclassified non-coding RNA, 307 nt
Filed under: fungal sp.
Lineage: Eukaryota; Fungi
Description: partial internal transcribed spacer region
Rfam family: Eukaryotic small subunit ribosomal RNA (bases 1-46)
Source: RNAcentral